GAUGAACGCUGGCGGCGUGCUUAACACAUGCAAGUCGAACGGGAUCCAGGCAGCUUGCUGCCUGGUGAGAGUGGCGAACGGGUGAGUAAUGCGUGACCGACCUGCCCCAUACACCGGAAUAGCUCCUGGAAACGGGUGGUAAUGCCGGAUGCUCCGACUCCUCGCAUGGGGUGUCGGGAAAGAUUAUAUCGGUAUGGGAUGGGGUCGCGUCCUAUCAGGUAGUCGGCGGGGUAACGGCCCACCGAGCCUACGACGGGUAGCCGGCCUGAGAGGGCGACCGGCCACAUUGGGACUGAGAUACGGCCCAGACUCCUACGGGAGGCAGCAGUGGGGAAUAUUGCACAAUGGGCGCAAGCCUGAUGCAGCGACGCCGCGUGCGGGAUGACGGCCUUCGGGUUGUAAACCGCUUUUGAUCGGGAGCAAGCCUUCGGGUGAGUGUACCUUUCGAAUAAGCACCGGCUAACUACGUGCCAGCAGCCGCGGUAAUACGUAGGGUGCAAGCGUUAUCCGGAAUUAUUGGGCGUAAAGGGCUCGUAGGCGGUUCGUCGCGUCCGGUGUGAAAGUCCAUCGCUUAACGGUGGAUCUGCGCCGGGUACGGGCGGGCUGGAGUGCGGUAGGGGAGACUGGAAUUCCCGGUGUAACGGUGGAAUGUGUAGAUAUCGGGAAGAACACCAAUGGCGAAGGCAGGUCUCUGGGCCGUUACUGACGCUGAGGAGCGAAAGCGUGGGGAGCGAACAGGAUUAGAUACCCUGGUAGUCCACGCCGUAAACGGUGGAUGCU
Molecule: ribosomal RNA, 780 nt
Filed under: Bifidobacterium sp.
Lineage: Bacteria; Bacillati; Actinomycetota; Actinomycetes; Bifidobacteriales; Bifidobacteriaceae
Description: bacterial SSU rRNA
Rfam family: Bacterial small subunit ribosomal RNA
Source: RNAcentral